CCUACGGGAGGCAGCAGUGGGGAAUAUUGGGCAAUGGGCGCAAGCCUGACCCAGCAACGCCGCGUGAAGGAAGAAGGCUUUCGGGUUGUAAACUUCUUUUCACAGGGACGAAACAAGUGACGGUACCUGAGCAAUAAGCCCCGGCUAACUACGUGCCAGCAGCCGCGGUAAUACGUAGGUGGCAAGCGUUAUCCGGAUUUACUGGGUGUAAAGGGUGAGUAGGCGGGUACGUAAGUCAGAUGUGAAAACCAUGGGCUCAACCUGUGGAUUGCAUUUGAUACUGUGAUUCUUGAGUACAGGAGAGGCAGACGGAAUUCGUAGUGUAGCGGUGAAAUGCGUAGAUAUUAGGAAGAACACCAGUGGCGAAGGCGGUCUGCUGGACUGCAACUGACGCUGAGGCGCGAAAGCGUGGGGAGCAAACAGGAUUAGAUACCCCAGUAGUC
RNAcentral lists this ribosomal RNA (443 nucleotides) under uncultured bacterium. RNAcentral describes it as "partial 16S ribosomal RNA". It matches the Rfam family "Bacterial small subunit ribosomal RNA", at positions 338 to 795 of the family's 1533-position model. The record is from RNAcentral.